Molecule: ribosomal RNA, 253 nt
Filed under: uncultured bacterium
Lineage: Bacteria
Description: partial 16S ribosomal RNA
Rfam family: Bacterial small subunit ribosomal RNA
Source: RNAcentral
UACAGGGGGGGCAAGCGUUGUUCGGAAUUACUGGGCGUAAAGGGCGCGUAGGCGGCGUGUCAAGUCAGGCGUGAAAGCCCCGGGCUCAACCUGGGAACCGCGCUUGAGACUGGCAUGCUCGAGUUCGGGAGAGGAUGGUGGAAUUCCCAGUGUAGAGGUGAAAUUCGUAGAUAUUGGGAAGAACACCGAUGGCGAAGGCAGCCAUCUGGACCGACACUGACGCUGAGGCGCGAAAGCGUGGGGAGCAAACAGG